GAUAUUCCUGUACCACCUAUAAUCGUUUUAAUCGAUGGGGGGACGCAGUAGGAUAGGCGAAGCGUGCGAUUGGAUUGCACGUCUAAGCAGUAAGGCUGAGUAUUAGGCAAAUCCGGUACUCGUUAAGGCUGAGCUGUGAUGGGGAGAAGACAUUGUGUCUUCGAGUCGUUGAUUUCACACUGCCGAGAAAAGCCUCUAGAUAGAAAAUAGGUGCCCGUACCGCAAACCGACACAGGUAGUCAAGAUGAGAAUUCUAAGGUGAGCGAGCGAACUCUCGUUAAGGAACUCGGCAAAAUGACCCCGUAACUUCGGGAGAAGGGGUGCUCUUUAGGGUUAACGCCCAGAAGAGCCGCAGUGAAUAGGCCCAAGCGACUGUUUAUCAAAAACACAGGUCUCUGCUAAACCGUAAGGUGAUGUAUAGGGGCUGACGCCUGCCCGGUGCUGGAAGGUUAAGAGGAGUGGUUAGCUUCUGCGAAGCUACGAAUCGAAGCCCCAGUAAACGGCGGCCGUAACUAUAACGGUCCUAAGGUAGCGAAAUUCCUUGUCGGGUAAGUUCCGACCCGCACGAAAGGCGUAACGAUUUGGGCACUGUCUCAACGAGAGACUCGGUGAAAUCAUAGUACCUGUGAAGAUGCAGGUUACCCGCGACAGGACGGAAAGACCCCGUGGAGCUUUACUGUAGCCUGAUAUUGAAAUUCGGCACAGCUUGUACAGGAUAGGUAGGAGCCUUUGAAACGUGAGCGCUAGCUUACGUGGAGGCGCUGGUGGGAUACUACCCUAGCUGUGUUGGCUUUCUAACCCGCACCACUUAUCGUGGUGGGAGACAGUGUCAGGCGGGCAGUUUGACUGGGGCGGUCGCCUCCUAAAAGGUAACGGAGGCGCUCAAAGGUUCCCUCAGAAUGGUUGGAAAUCAUUCAUAGAGUGUAAAGGCAUAAGGGAGCUUGACUGCGAGACCUACAAGUCGAGCAGGGUCGAAAGACGGACUUAGUGAUCCGGUGGUUCCGCAUGGAAGGGCCAUCGCUCAACGGAUAAAAGCUACCCCGGGGAUAACAGGCUUAUCUCCCCCAAGAGUUCACAUCGACGGGGAGGUUUGGCACCUCGAUGUCGGCUCAUCGCAUCCUGGGGCUGUAGUCGGUCCCAAGGGUUGGGCUGUUCGCCCAUUAAAGCGGUACGCGAGCUGGGUUCAGAACGUCGUGAGACAGUUCGGUCCCUAUCCGUCGUGGGCGUAGGAAAUUUGAGAGGAGCUGUCCUUAGUACGAGAGGACCGGGAUGGACAUACCUCUGGUGUACCAGUUGUCGUGCCAACGGCAUAGCUGGGUAGCUAUGUGUGGACGGGAUAAGUGCUGAAAGCAUCUAAGCAUGAAGCCCCCCUCAAGAUGAGAUUUCCCAACUUCGGUUAUAAGAUCCCUCAAAGAUGAUGAGGUUAAUAGGUUCGAGGUGGAAGCAUGGUGACAUGUGGAGCUGACGAAUACUAAUCGAUCGAAGACUUAAUCAA
Molecule: ribosomal RNA, 1495 nt
Filed under: Staphylococcus aureus
Lineage: Bacteria; Bacillati; Bacillota; Bacilli; Caryophanales; Staphylococcaceae
Description: partial 23S ribosomal RNA
Rfam family: Bacterial large subunit ribosomal RNA
Source: RNAcentral